CGGUUGUAAUAAUGACCGCAGCCUUUCCUCGAGGCACAGCUAGAGAGAAAGACCCACCAGUUGCAUGGAAAAAACUAAAAGUUUUACUGACAAGUACAGGCGACUUUCACAUUUAAAGCAGCAAAAACAGUGCUUGCAGACAAAGCUCUCUCUCGCGCGCGCACAAAUACACAACUUACUAAAUAAGGACGCGUUGUUUACUUUCCUCCGUCAGCGUACGACGUUCCGAGAUUUCUGGAAAGGGGGGAGAUGCCCGGAUGGAAUUCGGACGUAGUUCGAGAAGUGAAGAAAAAGUGAAAAGACCCUCCUCUACCACGACUGAACCUGCCCUGACAGUUCUUUUCAGCUCCAAACCCACAGAAGAAGCCGGAGGACUGACGGAUACUUUCAUUAUUUUACGUCCUGCAAUGCUGCCGAUUACACCUGGUCUUACCAUCUUUCUACUGCUGCUGGCUGUACAUAGCGUCUGGUCCUCUUCUCCACAGGAACCUAAAGCACCAGGCGCACCUCAGUCAGAAAUCUCCAGCCUCCAUCACCCCACCUGGACCCUCGGGCUGGAACUCUACCGGUCACUCCGCGCAGACGGUUCCCAGACAAAUACUCUUAUCUCUCCUCUUCUUUUAGCCAACUCUCUGCUGGCCCUAGGUGGUGGUGCUAAAGGUUCCACGGCAGGCCGAUUUCACAAUCUCCUGAAGAUCACCAAAGAUGAGAAUGCAGUCAGAGAGGCUCUGACUGAUGCUUUAAAGUCUGUGAGUAAAGCUAAUGCAACCAGCUUCACCCUGCACAGUUCUUCUGCACUGUUUACCAAACAAGCCCCUAAACUAGAGAAGAUCUUUCUGGACAACCUUCAGUCCCAGUUUGGAGUGCAGCAUGUGGCACUGGAGGAUGGAAAGAAACACGAUGUCAUGGAGACACUACAAUCCUGGGCUAAAGUUGGAAUGGGUGGAGAGGAGACAGCAGCUCUUAACCAGGGACUGGAGACCAAAGCUGGAGCCAUGAUGUUGGCCAAUGCACUGCACUUUAAAGGAUUUUGGGAUAGAGGCUUUGACCUAGAUAACCAAGACCUGCGCAACUUCUUGGGUACCAAAUACACCAAGGUUCCCUUGAUGCACAGAUCAGGCAUUUACAGACACUUUGAAGACAUGGAGAACAUGGUGCAAGUGUUGGAGCUGGAUCUGUCCGAAGGGCAUGCCAGCAUAGUGCUGCUUUUGCCCUUCCACGUGGAGAGUUUAGCCCGACUGGACCGCCUUCUGACACUGGAACAGGUGGAAAAGUGGCUGGAAAAACUUAAUUCCACAAGCAUGGCGCUGUCCCUCCCUAAAACCAAGCUUAGUAGCAUGGUCAAUCUAGAGAAACAGCUAGGCUCUCUCGGUCUGGAAGGUGUGUGGAACGAGACAUCGGCUGAUUUCUCCGCAGUGUCAAGCCUGGGAAAGGGGAAGCUCCAUUUGGCAGCUGUGCUGCAGUGGACGUCACUUGAACUGGAUCAGGAGUCCGGCAGCAAGGAUGGCGUGUAUGAGGACGAGCAUGUGGAAAAGCCAAAACUCUUCUAUGCGGAUCAUUCCUUCAUCAUAUUACAGAGACACUGACUGACAGCAACACUCAGAGUGAUAGACGUGCACUGCGAUGGGAUCGUCAGGCUCUGGAGCCAGCAUGUUGGGUGUCAGCUACACUCAUACCGACACACUGACACAACUCAUUCUCUCCUGUUACUGUACUGGAAAACAACCACUGUGACAAGUGCCAAGUAGACAAAUGCUGAUGUUGAGAUACUGGCAUCAUUCAGCCUUGGCUAUGAGUGACACAGGAAGGUCCCCUCUCCCGCUUUCUCUCUCUAGCUGACUCAUCCGCUCAGACAAACUUACCGAAGCAGAUCAGGGACUCCAGACAAGCAGAGGCUAAGCUGGCAGCGCCGCUCCCGCCCCGGGAUCACUCUCUCGGGGAGCAAGAUCACUCACACGGGCUGUUAUUGAUGGGGCAUGCUUAAUGCUAAUGCUGCUAAUGACUCGAGACUGCUGUCAACAACGCAGACAGAUGAUAAACCUUUUAAUCUUUUAAUGCUUGUCCCAAUCAAUGGAGGCCAUGGCCACAUUGCUCCGCCAUGCCAGUUAAAUAUUGUAACAUUUUUCCAUAAAUCAAGAAAAUUACAUGUUGAUUGUGAACCACAGGACUUUGUGUUGACUUAUUAUUGCUGAUGGAAAAGCUGUGCAUGACUGGUUAACAUGACAGCACGUUCUGUUUUGUAAAGUAUUGUUUAAUAGAAAAACUUUGAAUUGUGUCAUGAAUUUAAUGUUGUACUGAGUGCACCCAAAAAUGAAUAAAUAAAUGAAACAAAAAAGAAAGUUAUAUCUUA
Misgurnus anguillicaudatus (oriental weatherfish) is the source of this 2350-nucleotide RNA transcript. It is a transcript of the gene named serine (or cysteine) peptidase inhibitor, clade H, member 2, with no coding region annotated. NCBI's taxonomy places the organism in Eukaryota, Metazoa, Chordata, Actinopteri, Cypriniformes, Cobitidae. The record is from RefSeq and is a predicted model, not a curated record.